Molecule: ribosomal RNA, 452 nt
Filed under: uncultured Rhodococcus sp.
Lineage: Bacteria; Bacillati; Actinomycetota; Actinomycetes; Mycobacteriales; Nocardiaceae
Description: bacterial SSU rRNA
Rfam family: Bacterial small subunit ribosomal RNA
Source: RNAcentral
GCGGCGGAGCAUGUGGAUUAAUUCGAUGCAACGCGAAGAACCUUACCUGGGUUUGACAUACACCGGAAAACCGUAGAGAUACGGUCCCCUUGUGGUCGGUGUACAGGUGGUGCAUGGCUGUCGUCAGCUCGUGUCGUGAGAUGUUGGGUUAAGUCCCGCAACGAGCGCAACCCUUGUCUUAUGUUGCCAGCACGUAAUGGUGGGGACUCGUAAGAGACUGCCGGGGUCAACUCGGAGGAAGGUGGGGACGACGUCAAGUCAUCAUGCCCCUUAUGUCCAGGGCUUCACACAUGCUACAAUGGCCAGUACAGAGGGCUGCGAGACCGUGAGGUGGAGCGAAUCCCUUAAAGCUGGUCUCAGUUCGGAUCGGGGUCUGCAACUCGACCCCGUGAAGUCGGAGUCGCUAGUAAUCGCAGAUCAGCAACGCUGCGGUGAAUACGUUCCCGGGCCUU